UACGUAGGGUGCGAGCGUUAAUCGGAAUUACUGGGCGUAAAGCGUGCGCAGGCGGUUCCAUAAGACAGAUGUGAAAUCCCCGGGCUUAACCUGGGAACUGCGUUUGUGACUGUGGGACUGGAGUGUGGCAGAGGGGGGUGGAAUUCCACGUGUAGCAGUGAAAUGCGUAGAGAUGUGGAGGAACACCGAUGGCGAAGGCAGCCCCCUGGGUCAACACUGACGCUCAUGCACGAAAGCGUGGGGAGCAAACAGG
Molecule: ribosomal RNA, 253 nt
Filed under: uncultured bacterium
Lineage: Bacteria
Description: partial 16S ribosomal RNA
Rfam family: Bacterial small subunit ribosomal RNA
Source: RNAcentral